AAUGGCCUUCAUUUGGCCUAGAGCUUCCUGGGCUCUGUCUGUCAGGCUCCUUCCCGAGUCGGAACCGUGCAGACCUCAAGCCCACCUUGCUGUGCCCUCAGUCCCAGGAAGCAUCUCUGAGCGACCAUCUGGAAAAUGGUGGCUGGUGCCUUGACCUUUAAGAGGGCUGAAACGAGGUCUGUCGCUUCCGGGGCCAGGGG
This is a long non-coding RNA of Eptesicus fuscus (big brown bat), 200 nucleotides long. RefSeq lists it as uncharacterized. NCBI's taxonomy places the organism in Eukaryota, Metazoa, Chordata, Mammalia, Chiroptera, Vespertilionidae. The transcript is spliced from 3 exons. The record is from RefSeq and is a predicted model, not a curated record.